Molecule: signal recognition particle RNA, 255 nt
Filed under: Eubacteriales Family XIII. Incertae Sedis bacterium
Lineage: Bacteria; Bacillati; Bacillota; Clostridia; Peptostreptococcales; Anaerovoracaceae
Description: signal recognition particle sRNA large type
Rfam family: Bacterial large signal recognition particle RNA
About the family: The signal recognition particle (SRP) is a universally conserved ribonucleoprotein involved in the co-translational targeting of proteins to membranes. Archaeal SRP consists of a 7S RNA and homologues of the eukaryotic SRP19 and SRP54 proteins. In most bacteria, the SRP consists of a 4.5S RNA and the Ffh protein (a homologue of the eukaryotic SRP54 protein).
Source: RNAcentral
CCGCGCCAGGAUCGCAUAGUUUUUGGGCGGCCCUUGACUUCGGCCGCCGGCGUACAUAUAAUAGAGAGGAUAUUUGGCAGACUUGGGAAUUGCCCCUUGAAAGCUUCGCGCGGCGUGGCUUGGGCCCUGCGCAAAGCGGAACCGUGAACCUCGUCAGGUCCGGAAGGAAGCAGCGAUAAGCGGAGCUUCGCUUGUGCCGCAGACACGUCUUUUCCGCCCCGCGCGAAGCUUUCAGGGGGCGAUGGCAGGGCGCGG